AUUUUAUUAGUUUAAAAAAAACAUUAAAUUGCAAAUUUAAAAAUAAUAAAAAUUAUAAAAUU
Molecule: transfer RNA, 62 nt
Filed under: Cotesia vestalis (diamondback moth parasitoid)
Lineage: Eukaryota; Metazoa; Arthropoda; Insecta; Hymenoptera; Braconidae
Description: tRNA-Cys
Source: RNAcentral